This 253-nucleotide ribosomal RNA is filed under the name uncultured bacterium. RNAcentral describes it as "partial 16S ribosomal RNA". It matches the Rfam family "Bacterial small subunit ribosomal RNA", at positions 524 to 776 of the family's 1533-position model. The record is from RNAcentral.
UACGAAGGACCCGAGCGUUAUCCGGAUUUAUUGGGUUUAAAGGGUGCGUAGGCGGACUUGUAAGUCAGUGGUGAAAUCCUGCGGCUUAACUGCAGAACUGCCAUUGAAACUGCUUGUCUUGAGUACAUUUGAAGCGGGCGGAAUGUGUCAUGUAGCGGUGAAAUGCUUAGAUAUGACACAGAACACCGAUUGCGAAGGCAGCUCGCUAAACUGUAACUGACGCUGAGGCACGAAAGCGUGGGUAGCAAACAGG